This 253-nucleotide ribosomal RNA is filed under the name uncultured bacterium. RNAcentral describes it as "partial 16S ribosomal RNA". It matches the Rfam family "Bacterial small subunit ribosomal RNA", at positions 524 to 776 of the family's 1533-position model. The record is from RNAcentral.
UACGAAGGGGGCUAGCGUUGCUCGGAAUGACUGGGCGUAAAGGGCGCGUAGGCGGAUGGCACAGUCAGAUGUGAAAUUCCCGGGCUUAACCUGGGGGCUGCAUUUGAUACGUGUUGUCUUGAGUUCGGAAGAGGGUCGUGGAAUUCCCAGUGUAGAGGUGAAAUUCGUAGAUAUUGGGAAGAACACCGGUGGCGAAGGCGGUUCUCUGGGCAUUACCUGACGCUGAGGAGCGAAAGUGUGGGGAGCGAACAGG